CUAUUGUGACAUCCCUGGAUCUUCCUUCUACUUCAUUAAUGAAAAACCAGAACUGGAACGACCAAGAGCCAUAAAUGAUAACAAAAAUCACCAGAUCCAAGCAAACACAUGAGCCUCAGAUACUUAACAAGUUACCACCACGCUCAACAACGAAGAUGGGCAUCUAAAAGACCCAAAUCAUUUUCUUGGGGUGGGACAUCUUACCUAUGUAGCUCUGCUUUUUAACUUCGAGACCAGCGAUCUCCAGCAUCAGAAAAGCCGAGGGUGGCAGAAGAAUUGAGAAGAACAAAGUUCUUGAAUGGAAGACGUAAAAUCAACUCUAAUGCCGACUAGAAGAAUCAAAGAAGAAAAGAAAGGUGGAGGAAGCUGUCACAGUCAAGUACCAAACUAGAGCCAGGAGAUCUGAGCAUCAAUGGUAGAAGUCAAAAGCAUCGGACGAAGGAUCCUAUUUCCAGUGAUGACUAUGGCAGAACUGUAAGAUGUGACACCAUAUGGACCACGAACCACAAGCAUACUGUACACGGUCCUUCCCAGAAAACAUUUGCUGGCCCUGAACUAGACCAUGAAGAAAUACCAAGAUGCAGUUUUUCUAAACUCAAAGUUGGAGGAAAGUACAUACACUGAGCUGAGGAACACCUGGAAGUAUCAUGUUUAAAGGCACCGGUCAGGGGAAGCUUGGCUGAGGAGAAACAGAGAUGUGUCUGAUACAUUGAGAGCAAGAAUGAGGAAGUUCCUGGAACAGUGAUCACAAAGACAACCAAGGUUUGUGGAGAACACAUGGUGGGCUGCUGUCAUGGAAUAGAAAUAAACAAGGAAGAAGGUUGUCUGGAAUAAUGCUG
This 839-nucleotide long non-coding RNA is filed under the name Mus spicilegus (steppe mouse). Its description in RNAcentral is "lncRNA (ENSMSIG00000008687.1)". The record is from RNAcentral. Lineage: Eukaryota; Metazoa; Chordata; Mammalia; Rodentia; Muridae.